Molecule: non-coding RNA, 1870 nt
Organism: Rattus norvegicus (Norway rat)
Lineage: Eukaryota; Metazoa; Chordata; Mammalia; Rodentia; Muridae
Source: RefSeq, a predicted model, not a curated record
UCCAGGUGGCCAAGCACAAUGACAGAAUAGGAGUUCCACAGCUGUUUCCAUGGAGAAGCAUCAAACACUGACAAUUCCAACAUAUGGAGUCUGGAUGUCGAGCAGAGAAGUUACAUCUUAUUAAUUAAUAGAAAAAAUAGAUGUGAAGGCAGUCUAAGGAAAUCAGUUUUAUUUUAACCAUCCCUCUUCUCCACCAAGGUGGCACAGCUUAGUGCCAAGAGAGACCAUUUCUCAAACAGAUGAAUUUAACUGUUAUAGAUCUCAUUAGAAGCCAGGAAAAAAAUCUAACCUGAAGAAUAAUAGCAUCUUCUUGAAAAGAAAUCAAACGAACAGGUAUUAGCACAAGACAGCUCAAGAUCAAGUUCUCUGCACAAAGCAGAUUAAUUUUUCCCAAGGAACAAAGGGCAGGGGACAAGAGACAGAGAUAGAGGAUGAGGGAGAAGGGGAAAGGAACAAGGGAGAGGGGAAGAGAUAUUUACCCUGGAGGACAAAGGGCAGAGUAUGGUUAGAGAGGUGACCACAGUGGCCCUUCGGCAAAUGGCAGUUAAUAAAUGAGAAGGGGAAAGUCCGUGUUAGGGCGAAUUGGUUCGUUUUGAUUGGGCAUAUUAAUUAGGUGAGGCAGCGAUAACCUUUGGUUGAUGAACUUCAGCACUUUGAUGGCUGGACUUUGGUAGUCAGCCUCAAGAAGAGGAAGUGGUCAAAUAAGAAGACAAACCCUGAUAGCUAGCUAUAAGAGUGCAGUCUAACGGUUUUUUAGUGAGAGAGAGGGAAUGGGGGAAAAGCAAGACUUGUUCUAGCCAACUUUGUCAUGCUCAGGCCAGCUAGGGUCCUUUCACAUUUAAAGGAUGGAUAGAAUUCAGGUGUAGCAAAGAAAGAAGAUUGAAAGUUUACUGGCUUACAAAAGAAGUCUUGGCGAGGAUUCCGCAAAAACAAAUACCAACGAAAAGAUGUCACAGAAGCUGUCCAAGUUUUGAAUCGAGGUCAGCUGGAGGACACGGAAGAAGGAAAAGGUCACAGGAGGAAAAUGGGAUUAAUCCUGUGGCUAGAGAGGAAAGCUGAGACUGAGGGGAGGGCAGAAGCAUGUGAGGAGGUUUGGAAACAGCUCGGGCUGUUUUCCAGGUAAGGGCUCUGAGGCCCUGCAGUAAUUGAAUAAAACCUUGGCCAGGAGGGGGCAGCAGACACACAUCGAUUGCUGGAAACAGCAGGGGCUCUGAUAGGGAGGUGGGUUGAAUCUAUGGGUGUUCAAAGAAUUGUAGCCAACCAAGGAGACAUGAAUGAUGGGGCCUUGGUAAUGCGAUCACCUCGACUGCACAGCUGUAUAGAAGUCAAUGACAGCAAGGUUUCUAGAAAGAUUGAGACAAGGGUGUGACCAGGGAUUUUGGAGAAACGAUGCAGAGGAACAGUGUGUGAGGUUACGUGGGCAGUGGGCAUGGAAACGGACGAAGUGGGGAUAGAACAUUUGAAGUAUGACAAUGGAAAGAAGCUGAUGGUAGGACGGUCGUUUACAAGGAAGGUACAGGAGAUAGAUUUAUUUUAACCUUAAUAUUCUAUUAAACGAGUUCAGUGGAAUAAUCCCACGAGGAGAAUACAGGAAGGCGACAGAGACGGAAGGGUGCUUCUGAGAGGAGUCGGGAUAUGAACAAGCAUGCUCAUGGAAGGUGCAGUGGAUUGAACCUGGGCCUCACGCAUGUAUGCAAAUGCAAAAAAAAAGCCUGCUGAUUCUGAGAGAGGGUCUUGCUAAGAUUCCUGGGCUAGCUUUGAACUGUGGCCCUUCUGCCUCAGCCUUCCAAGUAGCAAGAAUUACAGGUUUGGGUCAUUAGCCAUAACCCUUUUACCACUUAAAUAUUAUUAAUUACAUAAAAUAGUUUUU